This 651-nucleotide ribosomal RNA is filed under the name uncultured Bacteroidales bacterium. RNAcentral describes it as "bacterial SSU rRNA". It matches the Rfam family "Bacterial small subunit ribosomal RNA", at positions 67 to 713 of the family's 1533-position model. Lineage: Bacteria; Pseudomonadati; Bacteroidota; Bacteroidia; Bacteroidales. The record is from RNAcentral.
UGGUCUUAGCUUGCUAAGGCUGAUGGCGACCGGCGCACGGGUGAGUAACACGUAUCCAACCUGCCGUCUACUCUUGGCCAGCCUUCUGAAAGGAAGAUUAAUCCAGGAUGGCAUCAUGAGUUCACAUGUCCGCAUGAUUAAAGGUAUUUUCCGGUAGACGAUGGGGAUGCGUUCCAUUAGAUAGUAGGCGGGGUAACGGCCCACCUAGUCAACGAUGGAUAGGGGUUCUGAGAGGAAGGUCCCCCACAUUGGAACUGAGACACGGUCCAAACUCCUACGGGAGGCAGCAGUGAGGAAUAUUGGUCAAUGGGCGAUGGCCUGAACCAGCCAAGUAGCGUGAAGGAUGACUGCCCUAUGGGUUGUAAACUUCUUUUAUGAAGGAAUAAAGUCGGGUAUGCAUACCCGUUUGCAUGUACUUUAUGAAUAAGGAUCGGCUAACUCCGUGCCAGCAGCCGCGGUAAUACGGAGGAUCCGAGCGUUAUCCGGAUUUAUUGGGUUUAAAGGGAGCGUAGAUGGAUGUUUAAGUCAGUUGUGAAAGUUUGCGGCUCAACCGUAAAAUUGCAGUUGAUACUGGAUGUCUUGAGUGCAGUUGAGGCAGGCGGAAUUCGUGGUGUAGCGGUGAAAUGCUUAGAUAUCACGAAGAACUCCGAU